RNAcentral lists this ribosomal RNA (1372 nucleotides) under uncultured bacterium. RNAcentral's name for it is "bacterial SSU rRNA". It matches the Rfam family "Bacterial small subunit ribosomal RNA", at positions 28 to 1381 of the family's 1533-position model. The record is from RNAcentral.
GAUGAACGCUGGCGGCGUGCCUAAUACAUGCAAGUCGAGCGAACGGACGAGAAGCUUGCUUCUCUGAUGUUAGCGGCGGACGGGUGAGUAACACGUGGAUAACCUACCUAUAAGACUGGGAUAACUUCGGGAAACCGGAGCUAAUACCGGAUAAUAUUUUGAACCGCAUGGUUCAAAAGUGAAAGACGGUCUUGCUGUCACUUAUAGAUGGAUCCGCGCUGCAUUAGCUAGUUGGUAAGGUAACGGCUUACCAAGGCAACGAUGCAUAGCCGACCUGAGAGGGUGAUCGGCCACACUGGAACUGAGACACGGUCCAGACUCCUACGGGAGGCAGCAGUAGGGAAUCUUCCGCAAUGGGCGAAAGCCUGACGGAGCAACGCCGCGUGAGUGAUGAAGGUCUUCGGAUCGUAAAACUCUGUUAUUAGGGAAGAACAUAUGUGUAAGUAACUGUGCACAUCUUGACGGUACCUAAUCAGAAAGCCACGGCUAACUACGUGCCAGCAGCCGCGGUAAUACGUAGGUGGCAAGCGUUAUCCGGAAUUAUUGGGCGUAAAGCGCGCGUAGGCGGUUUUUUAAGUCUGAUGUGAAAGCCCACGGCUCAACCGUGGAGGGUCAUUGGAAACUGGAAAACUUGAGUGCAGAAGAGGAAAGUGGAAUUCCAUGCGUAGCGGUGAAAUGCGCAGAGAUAUGGAGGAACACCAGUGGCGAAGGCGACUUUCUGGUCUGUAACUGACGCUGAUGUGCGAAAGCGUGGGGAUCAAACAGGAUUAGAUACCCUGGUAGUCCACGCCGUAAACGAUGAGUGCUAAGUGUUAGGGGGUUUCCGCCCCUUAGUGCUGCAGCUAACGCAUUAAGCACUCCGCCUGGGGAGUACGACCGCAAGGUUGAAACUCAGAGGAAUUGACGGGGACCCGCACAAGCGGUGGAGCAUGUGGUUUAAUUCGAAGCAACGCGAAGAACCUUACCAAAUCUUGACAUCCUUUGACAACUCUAGAGAUAGAGCUUUCCCCUUCGGGGGACAAAGUGACAGGUGGUGCAUGGUUGUCGUCAGCUCGUGUCGUGAGAUGUUGGGUUAAGUCCCGCAACGAGCGCAACCCUUAAGCUUAGUUGCCAUCAUUAAGUUGGGCACUCUAAGUUGACUGCCGGUGACAAACCGGAGGAAGGUGGGGAUGACGUCAAAUCAUCAUGCCCCUUAUGAUUUGGGCUACACACGUGCUACAAUGGACAAUACAAAGGGCAGCGAAACCGCGAGGUCAAGCAAAUCCCAUAAAGUUGUUCUCAGUUCGGAUUGUAGUCUGCAACUCGACUACAUGAAGCUGGAAUCGCUAGUAAUCGUAGAUCAGCAUGCUACGGUGAAUACGUUCCCGGGUCU